GCCAGGCAUUGUGGCUCAUGUCUGUAAUCUCAGUGACAUGGGAGGCUGAGGCAGGAGGAUUGAAAGUUUGAGGCCAGGCUCAGCAACUUAGUGAGUCCCUAAACAACAGAGCUAGAACUUGUCUCAA
RNAcentral lists this small RNA (127 nucleotides) under Marmota monax (woodchuck). The record is from RNAcentral. Lineage: Eukaryota; Metazoa; Chordata; Mammalia; Rodentia; Sciuridae.